Long non-coding RNA from Diprion similis, 362 nucleotides. RefSeq lists it as uncharacterized. The record is from RefSeq and is a predicted model, not a curated record. NCBI's taxonomy places the organism in Eukaryota, Metazoa, Arthropoda, Insecta, Hymenoptera, Diprionidae. The transcript is spliced from 2 exons.
AUUCUUAAUUUUUAAAGCGGUGUAACGCGAACUGCAUGACUUUUAUUCGCGUUCUUUAGAUAUCGCCGUUGAUCAUGCGCAGGUGUUAAUAUCGAGUUCCCAAUCGUUCAAUUAACGCUCACCUGUGAAUGUAAUCGGCCGUGUAAAGGGGAAAGUCGAAAUUAACGACGUGCUUGACCGUCGCAGUGUCGAGUCCCCUGGAACAAGCAUCAGUCGUAACGAGAACGAAGGUGUGACCCCUCUGAAAUUCAGCAAAUCUAUCCAACCGCACUUUCGCCGGUAAGGUGCCAUGAGUGUAGGAGCAGUUCACACUCAUAUCGCUUAAAAACAGGUACACCCAUUCACAAGACUUCUUGGUGUUG